UACGUAGGGUGCAAGCGUUGUCCGGAAUUAUUGGGCGUAAAGAGCUCGUAGGCGGUUUGUCGCGUCUGGUGUGAAAAUCCAGGGCUUAACCCUGGACCUGCAUCGGGUACGGGCAGACUAGAGUGCGGUAGGGGAGAUCGGAAUUCCUGGUGUAGCGGUGAAAUGCGCAGAUAUCAGGAGGAACACCGGUGGCGAAGGCGGUUCUCUGGGCAUGUCCUGACGCUGAGGAGCGAAAGUGUGGGGAGCGAACAGG
Molecule: ribosomal RNA, 253 nt
Filed under: uncultured bacterium
Lineage: Bacteria
Description: partial 16S ribosomal RNA
Rfam family: Bacterial small subunit ribosomal RNA
Source: RNAcentral